CCUACUUUACUCCUCUGCCUCUUUCUUUUUAAUUUCGUGUAGCCUCCACCCACUCUUUUCUCUCUUUCUCCAAACAAAUCAACAAUCCUCUUGAUCCUUUUUUUUUGUUUCAGUUAUCCGGUUGAUUCUAUCUCUCUCAUGUUCUUCUCCCUAAGAACAUCUCUUUCUUUCACCUUAUCUGUCUGUGAUUUUAAUUUAUAAUGUUUCAGAUUCAGUGUCACGCUCUUCUCCCUCAUUAAAGGUAGAAACUCACGACCCUACUGCCUCUCGACGACUAUUCUGAUCCGUACGUAAUGCAGAUGGUAUUAACAAGUUGAUAUUUCAGAUACAGAUCGAUGUAGCUAGCUAGAGCCACUACUUCGUCGGGCGACUACCCUGUUCGAGGCUUUCAUCAGGAUAGCGGGGGUGUAGACAAGGGCAGAACGAGAAUCUACAAAUGCCGAUUGGUUGCUGUAGUUUGAUGGAGGCAAAGGAGACCAGUGUUACCCUAAUUUUCUUUGCUUUGGUUUGUAUUAUAAUUGGUUAUCUAAUACCAACUUAAUUAUUUUGUACCUAGUUAACCAAUAUGUGGUUCAGAUAAUCAAUAAAAUAUAUUUUAGUUACAA
Molecule: long non-coding RNA, 605 nt
Organism: Brassica rapa (field mustard)
Lineage: Eukaryota; Viridiplantae; Streptophyta; Magnoliopsida; Brassicales; Brassicaceae
Source: RefSeq, a predicted model, not a curated record